UACGGGGGGAGCAAGCGUUGUUCGGAUUUACUGGGCGUAAAGGGCGCGUAGGCGGCCAGUGCAAGUCAGUUGUGAAAUCUCCGAGCUUAACUCGGAAAGGUCAACUGAUACUGUGCGGCUAGAGUGCAGAAGGGGCAACUGGAAUUCUUGGUGUAGCGGUGAAAUGCGUAGAUAUCAAGAGGAACACCUGCGGCGAAGGCGGGUUGCUGGGCUGACACUGACGCUGAGGCGCGAAAGCUAGGGGAGCGAACGGG
RNAcentral lists this ribosomal RNA (254 nucleotides) under uncultured bacterium. RNAcentral's name for it is "partial 16S ribosomal RNA". It matches the Rfam family "Bacterial small subunit ribosomal RNA", at positions 524 to 776 of the family's 1533-position model. The record is from RNAcentral.